RNAcentral lists this microRNA precursor (74 nucleotides) under Bombyx mori (domestic silkworm). RNAcentral's name for it is "mir-2807 microRNA precursor family". It matches the Rfam family "mir-2807 microRNA precursor family". Lineage: Eukaryota; Metazoa; Arthropoda; Insecta; Lepidoptera; Bombycidae. The record is from Rfam by way of RNAcentral.
UUAACUCAAAUUUGUAUGCAGUUGGAACAGCGCCCCUAGCGGCAAACGUUCCAACUCCAUUCAAAUUUGUGUUA